RNAcentral lists this ribosomal RNA (245 nucleotides) under uncultured bacterium. RNAcentral describes it as "partial 16S ribosomal RNA". It matches the Rfam family "Bacterial small subunit ribosomal RNA", at positions 524 to 768 of the family's 1533-position model. The record is from RNAcentral.
UACGGAGGGUGCGAGCGUUAUUCGGAAUUACUGGGCGUAAAGCGCGUGCAGGCGGGUGGGCAAGUCUGAUGUGAAAGCCCCGGGCUCAACCUGGGAAGAGCAUUGGAAACUGUUCAUCUUGAGUGCUGGAGAGGAAGGGGGAAUUCCCGGUGUAGAGGUGAAAUUCGUAGAGAUCGGGAGGAAUACCAGUGGCGAAGGCGCCCUUCUGGACGGCAACUGACGCUGAGACGCGAAAGCGUGGGGAG